CUGCAUGGAGUUGGAAUCACUAGUAAUCGCGGAUCAGCAUGCCGCGGUGAAUGCGUUCUCGGGCCUUGUACACACCGCCCGUCACACCAUGAGAGUCGGGAACACCCGAAGUCCGUAGCCUAACCGCAAGGGAGGCGCGGCCGAAGGUGGGCUCGAUAAUUGGGGUGAAGUCGUAACAAGGUAAC
Molecule: ribosomal RNA, 185 nt
Filed under: uncultured bacterium
Lineage: Bacteria
Description: partial 16S ribosomal RNA
Rfam family: Bacterial small subunit ribosomal RNA
Source: RNAcentral